AUUGUUUGCUAUGGAGCGUGUGGCACCUCACACCUCUCCAAGGGAGCUGGGGAGAUGUUGAAGAGGAGAGGAACUGGAUAGAUCCCUCUGGGACCCUGCAGGUGGAGAACAAUGUAGUGACUCAGGCUGGGCCAGGAGAAGUGAAGACUCUGUAAUGGAAUCCAGUGAAAGGGAGAAGGAGCAAAAGGAAACAUUGGAGGUUUAGAAGAGACCUAAGUCUGAAUUAUUCUAACAACUCUGUGUCAGGAAACAUAUCCAUGAAACCAAAGAGAAAUAAAGUAAAUCACACUUCAGAGUUAUCACCUAUAGACAUUUAGACUGGGGACAUUAAUAUUUCAGGUACUGCCACUUUCCUAAAAGAGCCAUCAAUGCCUGGAGGUAGAACAGCAACUAAAACAGUAUCGCUUAAUCUGGCAGAUUGCUUAGCCUGAUUCAGCAGACCCACACCAACCCAUGUGCAUGAUUGGCCACACGAGCCUGUGCCAGGGCAGGGGAAGUCCAUAGGAAAACACUGCUCGUUUGAGAGACAAGGGCCUGGGUAGGAACAGAAAAACCAAAGUGGCCCAGAUGUUUAUGUGUUGAGGAGAAGCUGAUGCAAUGCAACCACACUCGGCACAGUUCCCGAGUCUUCUGGCUCAUGUGAGUGGUUCCUCAAUGCAUGAGCAAUGUCAUCAGUCAGAGAGGGACACCACCCAACAGUUCUCCACCCUUCCCAUGCCCCGCAGCACUCCCGACCGACCGUGGGAAAGUUCUGACAUGUCAAAGAACAACAGCCAAUCUUCUGGCAGCAACACCUCCCUAUCAGCUGGAAGGCAAGUGACACCAUUCUCAGCAACUGGGUGUAAAGAAAUCAAGCAUGUAAUGAGUCAUUCACCUGCCCAAGCCUAGUGUAAGAAUGCGACAGGGCCUCCUCAGGCUGCUGCUUGCUGGUGCUUCCACUUAACCACCCACAAAUACAUGGCUAAAAAUGGCGCACGUUUA
Mauremys reevesii (Reeves's turtle) is the source of this 981-nucleotide long non-coding RNA. RefSeq lists it as uncharacterized. The transcript is spliced from 2 exons. NCBI's taxonomy places the organism in Eukaryota, Metazoa, Chordata, Testudines, Geoemydidae. The record is from RefSeq and is a predicted model, not a curated record.